RNAcentral lists this ribosomal RNA (349 nucleotides) under uncultured eukaryote. RNAcentral's name for it is "LSU rRNA". It matches the Rfam family "Bacterial large subunit ribosomal RNA", at positions 2138 to 2486 of the family's 2925-position model. The record is from RNAcentral.
GCAGGAUAGGUGGGAGGCGUUGAAGAUUUUCUUGCGGGGAGAUUGGAGCCGUUGGUGAGAUACCACUCUAACAAUGCUAGGAUUCUAACCCUAUACCGUUAUCCGGUUAGGGGACAGUUUCAGGUGGUCAGUUUGACUGGGGCGGUCGCCUCCCAAAAGGUAACGGAGGCGUGCAAAGGUUUCCUCAGGCUGGUCGGAAAUCAGUCGUAGAGUGUAAAGGCAUAAGGAAGCUUGACUGUGAGACCUACAAGUCGAACAAAGACGAAAGUCGGCCUUAGUGAUCCGACGGUUCCGAGUGGAAGGGCCGUCGCUCAACGGAUAAAAGUUACUCUAGGGAUAACAGGCUGAA